AGCGAAUCGUGACUGAUUGUCUGUUUCAAUGCUAGCGGUCGCGCGGAGCGCACGUGAGACUAUCGUCUUUAUCUUUUUUUGCUAUUUAAAGGCAAAAUAAAGAUGAAUAAACACCAAAAGGUGGGCGUGUCGAGUGCGUUUGGAGCGCGACCUGAUUGGCUGUUUGAGCUGAGCUGUUUUGACUGCUCCAUACGAAAGAGCCAAGAAAGUCUGAAGAAAGCGAAAAGGCCGCUGGUAGGAAAGAAUGAGCGCAGAUGAGUUUAUGAAAUACUGAUGGACACCCUUGCGCCAUCUGCCGGACUUGAUUCAAAGAAACUGACAUCAACCCACCCUGAUGAAUGAAUAAAACUUCUCCAUUAUUAAUCUGAGCCUGGGUGAAACUGUCCACGCUGUCAUCCGGGGACACUUUAAAGGCAACGAUCCCAU
Puntigrus tetrazona (Sumatra barb) is the source of this 426-nucleotide long non-coding RNA. RefSeq lists it as uncharacterized. Lineage: Eukaryota; Metazoa; Chordata; Actinopteri; Cypriniformes; Cyprinidae. The transcript has 4 exons. The record is from RefSeq and is a predicted model, not a curated record.